UUUUACAGCACCUUGGUGCUGGGGCCUUGUAUGGAGCCAGUCACAAGGUUUAUGAUACCUACAAAUGACCUGCCAUAGCCAGGAGGAAAUGAGGGAGCUCCCCUCUCCUGUCCUUGAGGAAGACAGCUGUAGCAGUUCUCUAGAAAGGGCCUUUGUGGCGUCCUCACUAAGUCCUCCCUAAAGGACAAAUGGAGGAAGGUGGUUUUGGGCCUCAUACUCCAUUUCUAUUUAAAUGAGCAAAGGUGGGGCUGCUCUUCCAGAGGACCUGGGUUUGAUUCCCAGCACCCACAUGGUGGCUCACAACCAUCUGCAACUCCAUUUCAAGGAGGGUCCAAUACCCCUCUGGCCUCCUUGGGUACCAGGCACACAUGUGGUGCACAUACACACGGGCAAAGCAUCCAUGCAUGUGAAAGAGAUGUGGAUUUAGGGCCACCGUGGGAACACAGCUGUGAGUGUGUCUGCGCCAGGCGUUUCCAGAAAGGAUCCACUGAGGAGGGAAGACCCAGCCCGAACUUGAAAGCCUGGGGGCUUCCCGAAGGGAAGACAAGGCCAGGUCCUCAGAAGGGUGCCACCUUCGAGUUCGUCCUGGAAGGAACCUCUCAUGCCUGUCAUGGGUCCUGAGUGAAAUAAUGGCUCCUAAGCCCCUUGUGUGCAUGAGAGCCCCUGGAGGGCUGGCAAACGGUACUUGACAUAAAACAAAUUGCAGUGCGAGUCCCAGAGCCAUCAGGUCAGCUGGGGCGGGGCCUGGAAAUGAACAUUUUCAGCAAGUUCCCAGACCAUGCUUCCAGGCCAGCCCAGAGCCCACCCUCUGAGAACCACUGCCCUAAAGAACUGCAGAGUGACCCGGAGCUGGUGUGGAAUUUAUUCUCUCUGCUCUCUGGACUGUUGUUUUGGCUGCUGGUGAGGUUCUCAUUGUGCUCCUGAGCCCUGAUUUGUGGUACUUGGCAGACCCUCAGAGCCCCAGGAGGGCUGGAACUUCUAACAGGCAGCACCCAGGUGCCCAUGAGCAGGUGGUUUUUACUGCACACCCGGGACAACAUACACGUGGAAGACCCGUUCCCUUACUUGCUGUAAAGCUUGGAAAUGGAGUGAGACAGCUGUGACCUUUCCUCUGGGUGUGCUCCUCAGGGAUGGGCCUUCUGAAAAUGUUGGCACUGGCAGCAGCUGGCAGGGAUGUGGGUGCCCCGCAGGCUGUCGGAAUGGCUUGGUGUAGAGACUCUCCCUCACUCUCCCCUUCUUUCCUUCUACCCUACCCUUUUGGGUGGUCCACACAGGGAAUGGCCGUUGGGCUGAACCUGACUGAGUUGACUCAUGGGCCCUGUGCCCACUUUUCCCAGUCCAGGCUAUCAACUCUCGGGAUGGUGCGACCCACGUCCGGGGCGAGUCUUUCCUCCUUAGCUGUAUCUCUCUGUAAAUGCCCUUGCUGGCGUGCCAGGAGAUAUGCUCCUUAGAUGAUCCUCAAUCCAACCAAGUUAUUAAUGAAGACUAGCCCUCAUAUCCUGGGUGAGCCCACUCUACUCUACCCCUAGUGAGAACCUGGGAGACCCCAAGUCCCAGUACCUAGCUGGGAGCAUGGCUUCUACUGUAUUUGCUUGUCAGGGAAUGUGGAAGCUUUCUUUUGUCCUGAAGCUGUCACUGCCCUCUUCAUGCCAACGAUGCAAUGGCAGAUUUGUGUCACCCAGUGUACAAGG
This 1691-nucleotide long non-coding RNA is filed under the name Cricetulus griseus (Chinese hamster). RNAcentral describes it as "lncRNA (ENSCGRG00015039552.1)". The record is from RNAcentral. Lineage: Eukaryota; Metazoa; Chordata; Mammalia; Rodentia; Cricetidae.